GGCACUUGCAACUUUAUUGCGCCAGCAAGAACAUGCAUACAGCCCAGUCUAACGUACAGGAUCAAAAAGAGACCUUAUUUCGGCUGGCAAUUACCUUACCCGCUUGUUCAUUAUCUGACUCCUGCACUCCUCCCAAGUGUUCAAUGUUAACCAGAUGGCAAAGUUAACCAGACAGAGGAAAUCCACAUAAUUACUCUAGAUGAAGCCCCCUAACUGCGGAUUAGAAGGAAAAGAGAUGAAGGGUGCUGCACUAAUAAUAACAACCAUUUUCAACCAAGGCAGGAUUCUGGGCCUAGAAUCUUCAGUGACAAAUUACCAGGAGAGGAGGAGGGAAAUGAAGAGCUGGAGGCCUAGGGAGAUGGUGUGAGGAGAGGAGACUGUGCCUUUCCACUUCUUAAUAAUUAAUGUUCUCCUGCUGCUCUGAGUCUGCAUCACCAGUGAUUCAGUUUGAGUCAGACAUCCAACAACAACUGAGCAAAAGAAUCAUCUCAGAUCCAAGCAAUGGUGACGCGCAGAUAGAAGAGACUGAGGCCAACGACCAAAGCAAAGGACAGCAGAACUGACUGACACAGCUCAGAAAAUAUCCAAAGCUCUGUAUGCUCUGGAAAGGAAGACAAGAAAUGCUAAAGACUCUGGAUAUUGCUCUGUUUCUAUAAGGUCCCACCCAUAUACCAUCUCUUCUUUUGGAUUUCCUUUGGCAGGGUUCCCUUGUAUGGAAGUUCUCAGGAGAACAACACUCUCAGAGUCCCACUGUCUCAAAGAAUUCUUAAUGGACAGCUAUACUUGGCCCCAAGGUUUCAACCUCACACUGAAGAAAGUGACAUAAGAAAACACAAGUCCCAGUGCUAUCAGGGGCUAUCUGGAAAAGCUGCUUAAACAGCAAGUGAAAGAAGGCUCUCCCCUACCCCGUUCUAGAUGGAGUCUCGCUCUGUCACCCAGGCUGGAGUGCAAUGGCACGAUCUCAGCUCACUGCAACCUCCGCCUCCCAGGUUGAAGCGAUUCUCCUGCCUCAGCCUCCUGAGUAGCUGGGAUUACAGACUCACCCUGAAGUUAUUUGAAGGAUCCUUGAGACUCUUUUGGAUUGCUGCUUGGAGAACAUUCCUGUAACUUGUCCCUGCUCCUUGAACUAUAAAAGCAGAAGGGAGGUACUGAGUUAAAACUUACAAAUUAUUAUCAAAUAAAUCUUCAAUAGUGGUUCAGUCCAA
This 1205-nucleotide long non-coding RNA is filed under the name Homo sapiens (human). Its description in RNAcentral is "PREDICTED lncRNA (TCONS_00163772)". The record is from RNAcentral. Lineage: Eukaryota; Metazoa; Chordata; Mammalia; Primates; Hominidae.